CAUCGUGAUCCCGCUUUCGCGGAAAGGCCAAGAGUGACUUGAAAUGUAGACGCAGAGGCCUAUGGGAAAUGUAGUUUUAAAUAGAGCUUCAGAGCAGAGACCAGAGCCCAGAAAGGAGCAGAUGCUAGAUUUGCAAGAUCAGAAGCAGGUCUUGAUCCUCCUGCCCAGAAUGAACCAGACUUGAUGAUGAUGCCACCUUCAGGAGCCACCACACUGUGUGACAGUGGGGCAUUUGGGCCGUCCCUGGGAAGUACAGAUGCGCUGCUGUCACACAUUGUGGUGGCUCCUGAAGGUGGCAUCAUCAUCAAGUCUGGUUCAUUCUGGGCAGGAGGAUCAAGACCUGCUUCUGAUCUUGCAAAUCUAGCAUCUGCUCCUUUCUGGGCUCUUGUCUCUGCUCUGAAGCUC
RNAcentral lists this long non-coding RNA (405 nucleotides) under Equus asinus (donkey). RNAcentral describes it as "lncRNA (ENSEASG00005026182.1)". Lineage: Eukaryota; Metazoa; Chordata; Mammalia; Perissodactyla; Equidae. The record is from RNAcentral.